This is an RNA transcript of Acinonyx jubatus (cheetah), 4146 nucleotides long. It is a transcript of the gene named CKLF like MARVEL transmembrane domain containing 5, with no coding region annotated. The transcript has 7 exons. The record is from RefSeq and is a predicted model, not a curated record. NCBI's taxonomy places the organism in Eukaryota, Metazoa, Chordata, Mammalia, Carnivora, Felidae.
AUGCAAACUUCUUCAGGCCCGGGUCCUUGGGGGGCUCCUAGUCUAGCCUAUUUCUCGGCUACCACCUGGCUCCUCCCGGUUUCUUUGUGGACCUCCUCCUUUUCCCCCCCUCCUCCCUCUCCCCUUCUCUGGGCGGGGUUGGUCUCCAGUAAGGGGAGGGCUGACCACUCCUCCCUGCCCCGCCCCACCCCUUCCCAUGUGCUUCCUGGGGGGCUGUUGCAGGCCCCAGCAGGGGCACUCUGGGCAGCUGGGAGAAGACCCAUCUGGGCAAGCCUCCCUGCGGCCCCACAGCCAGCCUGCCUACUUCUCUUUCAGGUUUCUCCAAGUGCCUCCCUGCUCCUGUUUGCUUCCCCAUCUCUCCAGGUUUCCGUCUUCCCAGUUCCCUUCCUGGGCUGGUGGCAGUGGGGGCUGUGCCUGGUGGGCCCCACAGAGAUGCUCAGUGCUCGGGAUCGCCGGGACCGGCCCCCCGAAGAGGGGGCAGCUGCAGUGCUCCAGGGCUUCGCCGUGGACAAGACCUUCCUCUCCUCCCUCAAAGGCAUCUUGCUGGAAACUGAGCUGGCCCUGACCUUCAUCAUCUUCAUCUGCUUCACGGCCUCCAUCUCUGCCUACAUGGCUGCAGCACUACUUGAGUUCUUCAUCACACUCGCUUUCCUCUUCCUCUACGCCACCCAGUACUAUCAGCGCUUCGAUCGGCUGAACUGGCCCUGUCUGGACUUCCUCCGCUGUGUCAGUGCCAUCAUCAUCUUCCUGGUGGUCUCCUUUGCUGCUGUGACCUCCCGGGAUGGAGCUGCCAUUGCUGCUUUUGUUUUUGGCAUCAUCCUGGUUUCCGUCUUUGCCUAUGAUGCCUUCAAGAUCUACCGGACUGAGAUGGCACCCAGGACCACCCAGGGUUGGCAAGAAUGAAGUUCCAGAGGCAGUGUCACUCCUCAUCAUGCAGUUUUUGCUGAGAAAGGAAUAAAAGCUUGUUGACCUGGGACUCGGCGAUGUCCGCCCGCUCCUCUGCCUCAUCCAGCUCGUGCUGCACCUUGCGGAACUUGGACAGGGUGCCUGACAUAGCUCUGAGCACCCAGAGCACGUGGAACGUCCAGUCCCCAUGCUGAGGCAGACACCUGCCAAUUCUCACACAUGAGAGGUAUGUUGACAGAGAAUGGAGAAAACCAUGAACUCACUGCCUCCUCUGCCUGGCGCUUGUAGGCCUUGACCUUCAGUUGCAGCUUGUCCACCAGGUCCUGCAGCCGCAGCAGGUUCUUCUUGUCCUCCUCCGUCUGGGGGUGGAUGGAUGGGAGAAGCCAAUUGAGAGGAGGAGCAAGUAGAAUCAUUGUUCCCUCCCUCAAUAUAUCACUUUCCUCCCUAGGCCUUAGUUGCCUCUCCCUCCCAUGGGCCAGGUCAAUGAGGGGGUGGGGGAUUCUACCUCUGUUGCUACUUAUAGGUCAAAGGACCACAGCAAGGUCCUCAGUCCAGAUCUAAAAGGCAAAGAGGGCUGUAGCGCUAAAGUUGGAAGUGGGGGAAGGGGCCCAGAACCAAACAGAAUUCUUUCAUCUGAUAACAUGGAGACAUCGGGGCUGUGUCAGUUCCAACCUGGAGCACUGUAGAUGCUCCUGGCCAGUGGUUUUAGAGUGAGCUGAGAGGACUAAUGAGGAACCCCGAACAAAGGGUAUUAUCAUAGUCCAGACCAUUCUGACCUAUCAUAUAUAUAUUGUACUGGGUCAGAUUUGGGCACUGUACAGGAUCACUGUCACCUGAUCAUUCCUAUCUCCACAUCAUUGCAUGUGCUAGGAUACCACUUGCCCUUAGGAUUGCAGUACAUCUGCAGUUCUAUAGCUGUGUCUCCUUCUUGUGCCUCUCAUAUCCAACUGUCAAAUGAAUCAAUACCCCCUUUCUCUGUCCUUCCUUCCCAGGCACACUGUGAAAACAACAGGUCAAGGGCAAAAGCUCUGAGCUAUGCAGAUGCAGGUCUUAGAACAUUUGGGAUCUUCUUUAUCUAAGGCCUUCUAUCUGUUGUUCCAGAAACCCCUUGGAAGAUGAGUCUUUUCCCAUCUCUGACUUUUAUCCCUAAAGUGCUACACUAUGUCCCCCCCUUUCAGGCCAGUAGAAGCGUUCCUUGGACUGUGCUAAAGCCUUAAUGGUAGCACUUUAGGUUAUUAAAAAAAAUCCUGAGGAAAUUGCUGGUUAAAAGAUUUUCAGGAAGUAGAGGGAGGUUCUGCAUUCACUAGGAAAAAUCAUGGACUCAAGACAAAUUGACUCCAGGGAAUGUGAAAGAAAAUUAAUCUAAAGAUAGCUUCUUAAGACAUGGGUUCCAGGGGGGUCGGGUGGCAUUCCUGGAAAGUGCAUGUGCGUGGGGCCUGUGUGGGUUGGGAGGUGGGACUAGAGAAGCACUUUCACAUUCGCUCUCAACUGCCCCCUAGAGCAGCUCCCACGCCCACACCUGGUAGGUCAGCUCCUUGAUGCGGCGCUCACUCUUCCUCAUGCCCUUGACCGACUCCGCGUUGCGCUUCUGCUCGGCCUCCAGCUCAUUCUCCAGCUCCCGCACCCGGGCCUCCAGCUUCUGCAGCUGCUUCUUGCCGCCCUUGAGGGCGAUCUGCUCGGCCUCAUCCAGCCUGUGCUGCAGGUCCUUGAUGGUCUGCUCCAUGUUCUUCUUCAUGCGCUCCAGGUGGGCGCUGGUGUCCUGCUCCUUCUUCAGCUCCUCUGCCAUCAUGGCAGCCUGGGGACGGGAGACGCGUGUAAAAGAACAGAGGCCCGGGGCCUCUUGUCCCUUGAGGAUCACCUUUUUCCCAUCGUGGCGUUUGUUUCCCGAGGCCCUCAGACUCACGCAGCUACAGAGUCAACUUGCCACGGCACAGUGGCCUGGCCUGGACCCAGGGCCCCAUGUCUUUAGCGGGGGCAGGAAGGGGAGCAGUCACUCACAUCCGUGAUGGCCUUCUUGGCCUUCUCCUCGGCGUUCCUGCACUCCUGCACGGCCUCCUCCACUUCAGUCUGAAGCUGGGACAGGUCUGACUCCAUCUUUUUCUUUUGGUUGAUGAGGCUGGUGUUCUAGAUACACGUAGAGAAAACUAUCAAGUAGAUACUUUGUUAUUUGAUUCUACACCUGUAUCCACAGAAAAUUAAAACCAGUCAUUUUUUUAAAGUCUUGUUUUUAUUUAUUCCUUGUAUCCUUUGUUAUUGUGUAUUCCAUGUUUUGUAUCAGCUUUCCCUUUUCUUAUGAAAACGGAUAUGUUCUUGAGGUUUACCUAAAAUUACUCAGCUCUGAAGAAAGACUUCAAGCAGCGAAAGGUCUGCAAUUCUUCUCCUGACAUCUUUGGUAAUGUGUCUAUUCAGGAGCAUGAAAAUAUUGCAGGGAAAAUGGGAACAACUUUUUACCAGGACAAUAUCCUGGAAAUGAUUACAGUUGCAGAAAGAAUAUAGUAGAGUAAUGAAGAGGGGGUGGAGUCAGUGGAUGAUAUCAUUCCCACACAUACUAGAUUACAGCAAAAAGGCCCACAGGACCCUGCAGUAAGAUGGACACGAAAACUCAUUGCAGAGAAGAGCUGACGUCACUGUGUAUGGGACUGCAGAAAAAUGGUGUUCCGUUGAGAAUAUGGCUUACAAGUAGAUGCACUUGUACUUCGUUAAAUGCCCCACAUCUCCCUCUACAGAGCAAUCUGGGGGCUGUCCUCUAGAUCAGGGAUGCCAGAUGACAGCACGCAUUUCACCACUCCCAGAUUUGUGACUUUGGUGGAUCUCGCCAACCAAUCACGACCCCAUUAGCUUUUAAGUGUAGGCCCUCUUCUCAAGGUAGUGAUUCCGACAGCCAUGACUGACAGAUGAGAGAUGGCCCAACAGAUGAAGCAAUUUGCCAUUCUGGUUGGACAUACUCACUCAGAGCAUCUGGUUCAGAAGCUUCAGUGGUGUCCCGGCCUCUGCCACUCAGCAGGUUUGUCCACACGGCCCCUGACCUCCUCACCUGGGAGUGCAGCAGCUGCACCCGCUCGCUGGUCUCGAUCAGCUCCUGCUCCGCCAGCUUCCGAGACCGUUCCGUCUGCUCCACCACGGCCCGCAGCUCCUCCAGCUCAGCCUGCAGCAGGUUGUUACGCCGCUCCACGAUGGCGAUGUUCUCCUUCAGGUCGUCGUUGGCACGGACUGCGUCGUCCAGCUGGAUCUGGGUGUCCU